RNAcentral lists this ribosomal RNA (253 nucleotides) under uncultured bacterium. Its description in RNAcentral is "partial 16S ribosomal RNA". It matches the Rfam family "Bacterial small subunit ribosomal RNA", at positions 524 to 776 of the family's 1533-position model. The record is from RNAcentral.
UACGUAGGGGGCAAGCGUUGUCCGGAAUUAUUGGGCGUAAAGAGCUCGUAGGCGGUCUGUCGCGUCGGCUGUGAAAUCCCGAGGCUCAACCUCGGGUCUGCAGUCGAUACGGGCAAACUAGAGUAUUGCAGGGGAGACUGGAAUUCCCGGUGUAGCGGUGAAAUGCGCAGAUAUCGGGAGGAACACCCGUAGCGAAGGCGGCACUCUGGGCCGGAACUGACGCUGAGGAGCGAAAGCGUGGGGAGCAAACAGG